UGCCUCUGAAUCCACAAUCUUAGAA
Molecule: non-coding RNA, 25 nt
Filed under: Rattus norvegicus (Norway rat)
Lineage: Eukaryota; Metazoa; Chordata; Mammalia; Rodentia; Muridae
Source: RNAcentral